CUUACGCGUGAAACAUUUCGUCUCUCUUCUCUACAGCGGUGACGCGUGACGCCUGCGAUUCUUCCCUCUCAACUGAAACGGCCUGGAUUAAGUUUCGUUCGAGCCGGUUCGUCUUAGAUUCGUCUCCUCCAAAACUACGGAUUCAUCAGUUCAUCGCCAUUAAGAAGCAAUUUACUCCUUUGACCCACAACUACCACAAUCAAACAUUCAAUGGUUCGUAUUCCUCUUCAGGGUGUUUAUCCUCCUAUAAAAAGGAAUCCAGGAUCGUAGCUCUAUAGGUUCACAUGAUCCAUCAAGACCCAAAAUGUUCAUAUUCAUCUGUAAAUCCAAUUGUUCCCAUAAAGGAAUAUAAUGAAAUCAUCUAAGCUGUUAGUCGGUCAGGCUAUCUUGGAAGACCACUGAAUAUCGAGAGUACUUUCAGAGUUUCCACUGGCUGUGCUCAUGGCUUUGGUUUUUUUUUCUUCGCUGGUCCCAGUGUUGUUGUGAUAGCCAUAUUGCUCAUUCACAUCACUGAUGUUAAAACUAUAGUUUUACUCGCUAAAAAGUUAAAUAGUAUUUCCAGAAGCGGUGGUGAUCACGAUGGCAGAGGAGGGGGUCGCGGUGGUGGUGGUCAUGAAGACCAUGUCGGCAUGGAGAAGAAGAAGAAUGCGAGGGAUCGAAAAGAUGUGGAAUGGUUCGUCGAUGGAUCUGGGACUAUUCUAAGGAUCACCGCUAUUCUAUUUAACUAGAGCAUGUGUCAUUCAAGUGUCAUGGAACCUUGGUAACAUUCGGAGUUGGUCCUGUGCUCAAACUCCGGUAUCCAAAAACAGAGUAGCGAUGGACAUUGCAGGUAGUGUGACGAGAGAGCACAGAUUCCAAUCUUAUAUUGCAAGGUUUGGCCCAAGUUGGCUACAAUAUCAUCUGCUUACUGAAGCUCAAGGGAUUAAGGGUGAAUUUCCAUUUUCAUGUCCCUUGUGCCAUUGCCUAAUUCGUUUUUCUUUAUUUUUUUUUGGAUGGAAACAGUUGAAUUUAUCAAAAGGAAUCAUUCAGUGUUAAAAAAAGAGCAUGCGCCAUUGGUAUCAACAAAUUUCAGGAUUUGAUUUUCGUAUUUUUUAUCAUAGUUGUAAGAAUAUUUGUAUCCGUUUGAGAUUUAAGAUUACACAUUUUGGUUUCAAC
Brassica oleracea var. oleracea is the source of this 1155-nucleotide long non-coding RNA. RefSeq lists it as uncharacterized. Lineage: Eukaryota; Viridiplantae; Streptophyta; Magnoliopsida; Brassicales; Brassicaceae. The transcript is spliced from 4 exons. The record is from RefSeq and is a predicted model, not a curated record.